GGCCCGAUGGUUUAGGGGUAUAAUACUCGCUUAGGGCAAAAGCCGUGUUAUUCAUAAUGUUGGCUUAUAACUCUAAGUCGUUUGCGAGUGGUCCCGGGUUCGAUUCCCGGUUGGGCCC
Non-coding RNA from Sugiyamaella lignohabitans, 118 nucleotides. Lineage: Eukaryota; Fungi; Ascomycota; Dipodascomycetes; Dipodascales; Trichomonascaceae. The record is from the annotation of a RefSeq genome assembly.